This is a long non-coding RNA of Scaptodrosophila lebanonensis, 4970 nucleotides long. RefSeq lists it as uncharacterized. The transcript is spliced from 5 exons. The record is from RefSeq and is a predicted model, not a curated record. Lineage: Eukaryota; Metazoa; Arthropoda; Insecta; Diptera; Drosophilidae.
UCCCAAUACUGCCGCGCCGCACAUAACACCACACUCCGGUUUUAUUUUGGUGCCAAACGGAAGAAACGGGAGUGAGAAGCGCCGCGGUUCUUUCUCUGCCCAACGUAGGCCACCGCCCACACCCUGAGAUGGGUCUCUCGGUCUACCGACGAACAAAGCCGGGCCUUAGCUAUUGCUUUAAAUCUUUGGCGUGGAAGACUCCCAACCGACGCCCGUGCAUGUCCUCCAACUCGUACAGGCUGUUGCCCACGCUGCUCCGGACACGGCAUUUCACAUACUUGUGGCACAGCUUCGCGUUCACGUUGUCCUUAAAACGACUGAGGACAAAGUUUCGCCUGUAAAUCUCCUGGCCAGGUACGUACGCUACCAUCCUCGCACGCUUAUCGUAUUGCCGUUUCGCCUUUUCAUAUGCCAGGUGGACACUCUGCUGUACCUCAUCCCGCACUGCCUUCUGCUGAUCCGAUCUGGGCAACAUGCGCAAUUCCGCAUCCUCCAGCGCCCCCAACUUGCGUGCCAGCUUGUAAUCCUUCCCGCUGGUGAACAUGUGCUGCCCAAACAAAACGAAAUACGGGGACGUGCCGAUGCUGCCAUGGAUAGCACUGCGUGCUGCACACUGCACGUCCGAGAGCUUCUCGUCCCACUUCGUGUGGUCGCCCUGUACAUAUGUCCUGAUGGCCGCUAACACUGUCUGGUUCACGCGUUCCGCCGCAUUCGCCUGUGGGGCAUAGUUCGCCGUGCGUACGUGGGUGAUGCUCAGCCCCUGCAGGAACCCCGUAAAUUGGUUGGCCACAAAUUGCUUACCGUUGUCGGUAUGGACGGUUUCUGGGACUCCAAAUGCCGAAAACACCUCCUCCUGCAGAAACCGGACCACUGCCGCCGCUGUUGCUUUUGGCAUCGCUCGCAACCACACGAAUUUGGACAGAUGGUCAAGAACAACCAGAAUGGUGGUAUUCCCUCUCCUGGACCUCGGAUACGGCCCUAGAAAAUCCAGAUGCAGCCUCUGCAUUGGUCGGAGCGAUACGGUUUCGGCGCCCAUUACCGGCCUCGCUAAUUGCGUGCUGUGCUUUGUUGCUUUGCACGUUUCACAGCCGGCAACGUACCUCCUCACCUGUGCCACCAUCCCGGGCCAGAAAAAAAACUGCCUGAGCCGUUCUAUGGUCCUCUUCAUGCCCCCAUGCAUAGCCGCGUCGCUCUCAUGGGCCUGCUGUAUAAGGGCUGCGGACACAGGACGCGGUACCCAGAGCUUCCAGGAAAAUUCCUCUCGCUCGGGCCGCGUGAACUGCGCCCGCUUAUACAACAGCCCAUCCUCCACGCGUAAAUCCGGAAAUAGCUCCGCGUUCUCCCGCACUUGCUUCAGCCGCUCGGUAUACUCCGCACCUUCGAACUCGGUUGUCUCGAAAUCAAAAAAAUCAACUUCCUCCAGUUCGAAAGGCCGUGAGAGGGUAUCGGCUACAAUAUUUUCCUUGCCUUUCCGAUGCUCAAUAUUAAAGUCGAACCUCUGCAGGGCCAACGACCACCGCGCUAAUCGACCGUCCAACUCCUUCAAUGACAUCAGCCACCGCAGGCUGGCGUGAUCAGUCACCACCUUAAACGGCAUCAAUUCAACGUACGGCCGGAAUCUUUCGACCGCUUUUACUGCAGCCAGGCAUUCCUUCUCGGUGACACUAUAGCUCAGCUGAGCGCCCCGAAGCUUCGCUGAAAAAAAAGCUAUCGGCCUUUCGGCCCCGUCUGCAUCGAGUUGGAACAAAACCGCUCCUAUGCCCGCUUGGCUCGCGUCACAUUGGAUCACGAACGGCUUCCGAAAGUCUGGAUGCACCAACACUGGCGCGCAGGCAGUCCGUUAACGGCGCGGAAAUCGUGGAAAAAUUCCGAAUGAAACGCCUAUACCAGCCAGCGGUCCCCAAGAAUCGGCGGAGCUGCUUUGCGCUGGUCGGCAAGGAAAUCGCCCGAAUCGCCUCGACCUUCUCUGGAUCCGUCCGCAACGCACCAUCGCCAACCACAAACCCCAGAUACUUCAAGUACUUGUAGCAGAACUUGGAUUUUUUUAAGGAAAUCGUCAAAUUGGCUACUUUCAAAGCACUUGCCACGUCCAGCAGCACCUUGCAAUGAUCCUCAAACGUUCUGGAUAUUAUGAGAAGGUCGUCCAGGUACACGAAUACAUGGCUUCUCAAACGCUGGGGAAUCACCUUAUCCAUCACCCGGCAAAGGCGCUGCGCCGCAUUGCACAACCCGAACGGCAUGGCCUUAAAUUGAUACAGUGGCCUUCCUGGUAUCGUAAACGCGGUGUACUGCCGGCUUUCCUGAUCCAGUUCGAUCUGCCAAAAAGCAUGCUUUAGAUCCAGGCUGCUGAUGUAAAUGGUAUCCUCCACUCGGCUCAAGAUCGACUCAAUGCUCUGGAGUGGGCUUCCUCACCAAAGUCACUCGGUUGCUCCAUGGACUCUCACUUGGCUCGAUAACCCCUAGCCGAAGCAUCUCGUCGACUUCUGCAAACAAUAGCGCCUGCACUGCCGGCGACACGGGAUAAAAACGCUCUUUCACUGGCAGUGCCCCCUCCGUCAACUGAAUGUGGUGCUGCUCCACUGGCGUCCUACCCAGACCGUGCUCCUCGAAGGAUCUGAAUUGGGCCACGACUCGCUGUAACUUCUCCUGUUGCCACGCCUCUAAAUCGUGUGGCUCCGUUGGCGUACUCUUUCCUAAGCGCUCCUCCUCCAACUCAGCCACGUGCUGUCCUUCGUCCACAGCCGGGAUCACAUUCGGAGCCAAACCGAACCUGCGCCAAAAAUCCACGCCCAGAUAAAGCGGUUGGCACAACGACGGGCAAACGUGGAAUACCAUUUCCGACUCUGUUCCGUUAUACCUAACGCGCGCCAUCACGCUGCCAAUAAUGCAAUGUGGCGCGCCGCCGGCUGUCCUUACCGCGGAUUUGUUUUCGCGUACCACCAAACCUAGUUUUCGGACCGACUCUAUGGCACCACUUCCCAGCAAGCUCACCGACGCCCCGGUAUCCAACAGACCGGUAAAUUCUCUGCCUUCAAUCGCUACCGUAGCAUAUGGGCGGCUGUCGGAACGACAUGCAGAAUUCACCGCGGCACACACCGCCUGGCGUUUCUGUCGGCGUUCGCGGUGUCUCCUACGCGCCCGCAAGGAUGUCUUCGACGCCCCUCUCGCAUCCGGUUCGUGCUGGCUACCAAAUAUGCGGUUCCUGGCUACUUCAUAGUCGCGCUGACGCUGCUCCAAGGGUUUCCGCUGCGACCAUACUUUCUUCGGUGGGACUGCCUGGUUGACUUUAUAUAUCUGUACGCGUUUCACCGUCUACCGAGAGUGCGACUCCUCCGGCUGCGUCGGACUCCUCUCCGAGUUUCCCGGACGGCAUUUCGGGCAUCUUGGCAGCACCACGCCUGGCUGUCCGCAUUUGAAACAAAACAUAUUGCGCACCGCCGACUCGCAAUCGAAAUAUGUAUGCCCUGGUUGUGCACAAUUCCAACACUUGAGAUUCGAGCGGCUCCCACCAGUUUCAUGUGGCCUAUAUACCGCCUCCAAAUGCUCCAGUUGGCCGCCUUGUGUACCUUCUGCUACCACGUCCAGCUCGUGUACUCGAUGCUGCUCUCGCUGCUGCCCGUAGUUGGUACUGGCUGAGGGCCGCGCCCAACGCGUUGCCAGCAUCUUUUCGGCGUCUUGGCACUCCUCUCUCAGCUUCUGCAGAUUAGUUAUAUUCAUCGGAUAGAUGACCCUAGACACGGUGUCUUUAAUAUUUGUCUUUAUCACCUUAAUAAGGUCAUAAUCCGAAAAUGGACACACCAACCGAGAACGCAACACCAGCAUCGCCUGAAUAUACUCUUCUAUGCUCUCGCCAUGCCGCUGCUUCCGCUCCCUCAGCUCCUGCUCUCGUUCAAACUCCGAUCUUCGAGUCUGAAAUUGCUGCUGCAGCCCAUAUCGGAGAUUCGGCCAGUCCGGCACGCCCGAGGUACGUAUGUACAUCCAAUACCAAUCUUUCGCUCUCCCGUUCACCAGGCAGUGGAAGUCUCGCAACACGUCGGCCCAGGGCACCUGAUACAAGGACUGCAAAUGCUCCAAUCGAAAUAUAAACUCUGCCACCGGCAUUCCUUUGGUUUCGCCAUCAAAUACAAGGCCCCACUUUCUGAUGUGGACGACGUCGGGCCGGGAGUCUCCCAUCGUGGUUCGCCUUAAUGGCCUGUGCACGUCAGGGCCCAAAUCGCGCAUCCACGGAUCGGCUGAGAACUGCCGCUGCUCCACAUGUGCCCGCUGUUCUGCCUCUAAAGUUCGGUUGUCGACGAACAGGCUGGCCGCUGCAUUUGCGCGUGAGCUCGCUCUGGCCUGCCCACCGGCGCCUGUGCUACAGACGGAGGCGCGCUAUGCGUUCUCUCCUGCCUCAGCGCUGCCACUGCCUCAUUAAUCUCGCGCAUGAACGACAGCAUGCUGGCCUGCAUCGUCUCUCGAAUGGCCUCUACUUCUGACGACAACGAUGCGCGAUACGUCUCGUGGGCCUGUGCUAAUGCCACGUUGAUCGCUGACCGAAUUUCGCUUGGCAGCGCAGACUCGGCUCUGCCACCCUGCUCUUCACCGCCAUAGUCACGCGCGCGUGCGCCGGUUGUUGCUCCGGAACUGUUCGGAAAUUCAUCCCCGAAUCCUCGGAACGCUGCCUCGUUUACACUCGGCGGCGAUGCGUCAUCAUGGAGUGCUUCUGCUGGCUUGCCCGCCUCACUCAAUCCUACGUGAGGAGGAGAGUCCAAGUGAACCAAUGGCCUAUUUCUAAUAAACUCCUGACUCCGCCUGACCUUCCGGGUAACAUUCGGGUCAAGAUUCAUUUCUCAGUACCUUGUUAAUCCAAACCAAAAAAAAACCACUGCUAGUACUCGGAUCCGUACCCGCCGAUUAUAAUAUCAAAAAAAACUAUAUCUAUAUUAUAAACGAGCAAACUCCGAAUAAAUAAAUAGAUCGGUCCACUCGUA